GGCAACUAACACGCAGCACAUGCAUGAAAUAAUAGUGAUCUGUGUGACUCCGUGCUAGGAACUCCCUGCUCCCCUCCAUCCGGGUUUCUGCUGCACCACUCACAACAGCCACGACAUGGAACCGGCCUAGAUGUCCCUCGAUACAUGGUUGGGAAAGGAAACUGUCACACGCAGACACCACGGAACUUUAUUCAACAUAAAGAAAAUGAAAUUAAGAGAGCAUGGCGGAGGACACUCCUGUGCUGGGCGGCAGCUCUGUCCUCUACACCUUCAUCCCGCUCUCUAGUCGCGUGGCCUGAGUGUCUAUGGAGCCGCCUCACCCUCUCACCCUCUCGGUUCUCACUGCUCUACAAGACUGCAGGUCAACAGAAUGGAAGCGGAGCUCACCCACUCGGCACCCAGCAUCCCCCACCAAGGAGCACGGCUGGCGAGUUAGAGUCAAGGCUGGAAGGCCGAGUCUGUUUGAGCCUCUUAGUUGGAACCUGUGAGCCCCAGUCUCCUCAGCCACCAAUGUCGUAAGGACAAGGUGUACAGACAUGAAGAAUCCAGACUCGUAGCUUUACCUGAGCCCACAUCCGGACGUUCAGGUUUCCUGAUUCCUGAGUUCGCUUCCCAGAAGAGGAAGCAGGCAUGAAACACCAAGAACAGUCACUGGGCUUCAGAGCUCUCAGAGAGGAAGACAAUUUGGAAUGUCAAAAGAAACAGUACGGCCAGGCAGUGGUGGCGCACGCCUUUAAUCCCAGCACUCGGGAGGCAGAGGCAGGCGGAUCUCUGUGAGUUCGAGGCUGGGCUGGUCUGACAGCCUCCAAAACAAUACAGAGAAACCCUGUCUCGUAAAACCAAAAAAAAAAAAAAAAAAUAGAAACAGUACAUACUGGAUUGAAGUAAAGGAGCUGGCUCGAAAAAGCUAAGGACCUCUCUCAUUGCUACCCCAUGUGACUUCUCUGAAUCCCAGGACUAUUACAAUGGAGGAAACCCCAAAACUCUACUGGAAUUUCUGUACAAAUGGUGGCACAGGUUUGUCAAAAACAGGUCUCGUAGUUCUUGAAUAUGAUUCCACCUAAGUCAUCAAGCAGUGGUUUCUGUUGCUCAUUUUCAGGAAUGGUAGGUUGAUUUAGCCCUAACUUCCUCUUAGUAAUCCACUGUGAACACAAAAUAUCACUGACAAUUCACUGUCCCCUGCUGGUUUAUUUCAGGACAGUAACGGUCACAGGCUCGGUCACAGGGUCUACGGUAUAAAAACCUAUUUGCCUGUGUUUGGCUCUGGAGUCAUGCUGUGCCCAGGUACAGUCACUCCUCAAGAAGACAGGACUGAGAGUCAGGGCGCAGCAGGCACGCAGAGCCCAAAACUCUCAGCAAUGACUACCAGAGCUCACAGAGGCAUAGAGAGGCAAAGGAUAGCUAAAUGCAAUGUUUUUUAUUUUUUAUAAUUAACUCACCCUCGACACAUCGGAUGGACAAAGGUAUGCAGACAUAAAACCUUAAGAUCCCACAGUGGCCCUCCAAGGGAGGGGCUAUCGGUGAGCACAGGGGGGCUCAGCAUCGAGUAUCAGUCUCGGUGUGAGGUCACUUAAGAGAGCUGAUGGGCCAGCGGCCCCGAGUGUCUGGAACAGACAGUAUCUCAACAUCAGGCAGUCAUUAUGGCUGAAACGUUGAAGGGAGGUUGAAGCUCCCCACCUCACCAACUGCCUGAGCAUUUAAUGCUCAAGGCUAUAAACCAACGAUCGCGUUCAUCAGGAAGAAGACAUAAGUGCCAAACAGGACUUCUUACAAUAAACUUGAUUUGUUUCUGUCA
Mesocricetus auratus (golden hamster) is the source of this 1795-nucleotide long non-coding RNA. RefSeq lists it as uncharacterized. NCBI's taxonomy places the organism in Eukaryota, Metazoa, Chordata, Mammalia, Rodentia, Cricetidae. The record is from RefSeq and is a predicted model, not a curated record. The transcript has 2 exons.